UACGUAGGGUGCGAGCGUUGUCCGGAAUUAUUGGGCGUAAAGGGCUCGUAGGCGGUUUGUCGCGUCGGGAGUGAAAUCCACUGGCUUAACUGGUGGCUUGCUUUCGAUACGGGCAGACUGGAGGUAUGCAGGGGGAGAACGGAAUUCCUGGUGUAGCGGUGAAAUGCGCAGAUAUCAGGAGGAACACCGGUGGCGAAGGCGGUUCUCUGGGCAUGUCCUGACGCUGAGGAGCGAAAGUGUGGGGAGCGAACAGG
This 254-nucleotide ribosomal RNA is filed under the name uncultured bacterium. RNAcentral's name for it is "partial 16S ribosomal RNA". It matches the Rfam family "Bacterial small subunit ribosomal RNA", at positions 524 to 776 of the family's 1533-position model. The record is from RNAcentral.